RNAcentral lists this ribosomal RNA (429 nucleotides) under Chloroflexota bacterium. RNAcentral describes it as "Chloroflexi bacterium partial 16S ribosomal RNA". It matches the Rfam family "Bacterial small subunit ribosomal RNA", at positions 355 to 776 of the family's 1533-position model. The record is from RNAcentral. Lineage: Bacteria; Bacillati; Chloroflexota.
UGGGGAAUAUUGCACAAUGGGCGCAAGCCUGAUGCAGCCAUGCCGCGUGUAUGAAGAAGGCCUUCGGGUUGUAAAGUACUUUCAGCGGGGAGGAAGGGAGUAAAGUUAAUACCUUUGCUCAUUGACGUUACCCGCAGAAGAAGCACCGGCUAACUCCGUGCCAGCAGCCGCGGUAAUACGGAGGGUGCAAGCGUUAAUCGGAAUUACUGGGCGUAAAGCGCACGCAGGCGGUCUGUCAAGUCGGAUGUGAAAUCCCCGGGCUCAACCUGGGAACUGCAUUCGAAACUGGCAGGCUAGAGUCUUGUAGAGGGGGGUAGAAUUCCAGGUGUAGCGGUGAAAUGCGUAGAGAUCUGGAGGAAUCCCGGUGGCGAAGGCGGCCCCCUGGACAAAGACUGACGCUCAGGUGCGAAAGCGUGGGGAGCAAACAGG